GCAAACUGCGAAUACCGGAGAAUGUUAUCACGGGAGACACACGGCGGGUGCUAACGUCCGUCGUGAAGAGGGAAACAACCCAGACCGCCAGCUAAGGUCCCAAAGUCAUGGUUAAGUGGGAAACGAUGUGGGAAGGCCCAGACAGCCAGGAUGUUGGCUUAGAAGCAGCCAUCAUUUAAAGAAAGCGUAAUAGCUCACUGGUCGAGUCGGCCUGCGCGGAAGAUGUAACGGGGCUAAACCAUGCACCGAAGCUGCGGCAGCGACGCUUAUGCGUUGUUGGGUAGGGGAGCGUUCUGUAAGCCUGCGAAGGUGUGCUGUGAGGCAUGCUGGAGGUAUCAGAAGUGCGAAUGCUGACAUAAGUAACGAUAAAGCGGGUGAAAAGCCCGCUCGCCGGAAGACCAAGGGUUCCUGUCCAACGUUAAUCGGGGCAGGGUGAGUCGACCCCUAAGGCGAGGCCGAAAGGCGUAGUCGAUGGGAAACAGGUUAAUAUUCCUGUACUUGGUGUUACUGCGAAGGGGGGACGGAGAAGGCUAUGUUGGCCGGGCGACGGUUGUCCCGGUUUAAGCGUGUAGGCUGGUUUUCCAGGCAAAUCCGGAAAAUCAAGGCUGAGGCGUGAUGACGAGGCACUACGGUGCUGAAGCAACAAAUGCCCUGCUUCCAGGAAAAGCCUCUAAGCAUCAGGUAACAUCAAAUCGUACCCCAAACCGACACAGGUGGUCAGGUAGAGAAUACCAAGGCGCUUGAGAGAACUCGGGUGAAGGAACUAGGCAAAAUGGUGCCGUAACUUCGGGAGAAGGCACGCUGAUAUGUAGGUGAAGCGACUUGCUCGUGGAGCUGAAAUCAGUCGAAGAUACCAGCUGGCUGCAACUGUUUAUUAAAAACACAGCACUGUGCAAACACGAAAGUGGACGUAUACGGUGUGACGCCUGCCCGGUGCCGGAAGGUUAAUUGAUGGGGUUAGCGGUAACGCGAAGCUCUUGAUCGAAGCCCCGGUAAACGGCGGCCGUAACUAUAACGGUCCUAAGGUAGCGAAAUUCCUUGUCGGGUAAGUUCCGACCUGCACGAAUGGCGUAAUGAUGGCCAGGCUGUCUCCACCCGAGACUCAGUGAAAUUGAACUCGCUGUGAAGAUGCAGUGUACCCGCGGCAAGACGGAAAGACCCCGUGAACCUUUACUAUAGCUUGACACUGAACAUUGAGCCUUGAUGUGUAGGAUAGGUGGGAGGCUUUGAAGUGUGGACGCCAGUCUGCAUGGAGCCGACCUUGAAAUACCACCCUUUAAUGUUUGAUGUUCUAACGUUGGCCCCUAAUCGGGGUUGCGGACAGUGUCUGGUGGGUAGUUUGACUGGGGCGGUCUCCUCCUAAAGAGUAACGGAGGAGCACGAAGGUUGGCUAAUCCUGGUCGGACAUCAGGAGGUUAGUGCAAUGGCAUAAGCCAGCUUGACUGCGAGCGUGACGGCGCGAGCAGGUGCGAAAGCAGGUCAUAGUGAUCCGGUGGUUCUGAAUGGAAGGGCCAUCGCUCAACGGAUAAAAGGUACUCCGGGGAUAACAGGCUGAUACCGCCCAAGAGUUCAUAUCGACGGCGGUGUUUGGCACCUCGAUGUCGGCUCAUCACAUCCUGGGGCUGAAGUAGGUCCCAAGGGUAUGGCUGUUCGCCAUUUAAAGUGGUACGCGAGCUGGGUUUAGAACGUCGUGAGACAGUUCGGUCCCUAUCUGCCGUGGGCGCUGGAGAACUGAGGGGGGCUGCUCCUAGUACGAGAGGACCGGAGUGGACGCAUCACUGGUGUUCGGGUUGUCAUGCCAAUGGCACUGCCCGGUAGCUAAAUGCGGAAGAGAUAAGUGCUGAAAGCAUCUAAGCACGAAACUUGCCCCGAGAUGAGUUCUCCCUGACUCCUUGAGAGUCCUGAAGGAACGUUGAAGACGACGACGUUGAUAGGCCGGGUGUGUAAGCGCAGCGAUGCGUUGAGCUAACCGGUACUAAUGAACCGUGAGGCUUAACCUUACAACGCCGAAGCUGUU
Molecule: ribosomal RNA, 2017 nt
Filed under: Escherichia coli
Lineage: Bacteria; Pseudomonadati; Pseudomonadota; Gammaproteobacteria; Enterobacterales; Enterobacteriaceae
Description: bacterial LSU rRNA
Rfam family: Bacterial large subunit ribosomal RNA
Source: RNAcentral